AAACUACCUGGCAGUGGAGGUACCAUGAACAUUUAGGUCAUUUUCCUAGGGUGCAGCUCAUCCAUUAUACUGUGGGUGUGCUGAUCCAUGUGAUUUUUCCCAAAUGAGGGAAACUCGACUGCAUAAUUUGUUGUAGUGGGGGACUGUGUUUGCGCUUUCCCCUG
Molecule: small nuclear RNA, 164 nt
Organism: Pelodiscus sinensis (Chinese soft-shelled turtle)
Lineage: Eukaryota; Metazoa; Chordata; Testudines; Trionychidae
Gene: U1
Rfam family: U1 spliceosomal RNA
About the family: U1 is a small nuclear RNA (snRNA) component of the spliceosome (involved in pre-mRNA splicing).
Source: Ensembl